UCGUGCUAGAUGGGGAGGUAGCGGUGCCCUGUAACCCGCAAUCCGCUCUAGCGGGAUCGAAUUCCUAUCAGCGGUCAUCUACAUGUAGGGUCUGGCUCGUGCAAGUGGUGUUGAUGGUUGGGUCCUAUGCAAUGAAUGUCCAUGAACCCCGUCAGGUCCGGAAGGAAGCAGCGGUAAGUGGAAUUUUUCAUGUGUUGUAGGGUUGCCUGAUCUGAGCUAACUACAUGGGUACGCCUAUGUGGGAUGAUCAAUGAUAGGUGCACGA
RNAcentral lists this signal recognition particle RNA (265 nucleotides) under Vulcanibacillus modesticaldus. RNAcentral describes it as "Bacterial large signal recognition particle RNA". It matches the Rfam family "Bacterial large signal recognition particle RNA". Rfam says of the family: The signal recognition particle (SRP) is a universally conserved ribonucleoprotein involved in the co-translational targeting of proteins to membranes. Archaeal SRP consists of a 7S RNA and homologues of the eukaryotic SRP19 and SRP54 proteins. In most bacteria, the SRP consists of a 4.5S RNA and the Ffh protein (a homologue of the eukaryotic SRP54 protein). The record is from Rfam by way of RNAcentral. Lineage: Bacteria; Bacillati; Bacillota; Bacilli; Caryophanales; Bacillaceae.